RNAcentral lists this ribosomal RNA (468 nucleotides) under uncultured bacterium. Its description in RNAcentral is "partial 16S ribosomal RNA". It matches the Rfam family "Bacterial small subunit ribosomal RNA", at positions 28 to 507 of the family's 1533-position model. The record is from RNAcentral.
GACGAACGCUGGCGGCGUGCUUAACACAUGCAAGUCGAACGGAAAGGCCCUGCUUUUGUGGGGUGCUCGAGUGGCGAACGGGUGAGUAACACGUGAGUAACCUGCCCUUGACUUUGGGAUAACUUCAGGAAACUGGGGCUAAUACCGGAUAGGAGCUCCUGCUGCAUGGUGGGGGUUGGAAAGUUUCGGCGGUUGGGGAUGGACUCGCGGCUUAUCAGCUUGUUGGUGGGGUAGUGGCUUACCAAGGCUUUGACGGGUAGCCGGCCUGAGAGGGUGACCGGCCACAUUGGGACUGAGAUACGGCCCAGAAUCCUACGGGAGGCAGCAGUGGGGAAUAUUGCACAAUGGGCGGAAGCCUGAUGCAGCAACGCCGCGUGCGGGAUGACGGCCUUCGGGUUGUAAGCCGCUUUCGCCUGUGACGAAGCGUGAGUGACGGUAAUGGGUAAAGAAGCACCGGCUAACUACGUG